ACCUUCGUGGUGUAGUGGUCAGCACGCACGACGCGCAUCCGAGAGGUCCGUGGUUCGAAUCCCGGCGAGGGUA
RNAcentral lists this transfer RNA (73 nucleotides) under Stegodyphus mimosarum. It matches the Rfam family "tRNA". Rfam says of the family: Transfer RNA (tRNA) molecules are approximately 80 nucleotides in length. Their secondary structure includes four short double-helical elements and three loops (D, anti-codon, and T loops). Lineage: Eukaryota; Metazoa; Arthropoda; Arachnida; Araneae; Eresidae. The record is from Rfam by way of RNAcentral.